Molecule: long non-coding RNA, 1047 nt
Filed under: Oryza sativa Indica Group (long-grained rice)
Lineage: Eukaryota; Viridiplantae; Streptophyta; Magnoliopsida; Poales; Poaceae
Description: lncRNA OsZS97_06G010300
Source: RNAcentral
GGACGACGCCACAGCUUGCCGAGGAACGCGUCGCUCUUGCGCAGCUCCCUCCAGCGUCGCUUCACGGCACGCGAGCUGCGACCGUCGUCGAGGCGCAGGCAGAGGCGGGCGAGCUCGGCGUCGUCGUCGGCGGUGAAAGGGCGGUGGAAGACGUCGCGGGCGAGGUGGUCCCUCCACCUGUCGCGGCACUGCGCGGGCGAGCGGCGGCUGCUGUGGCGCGGCAUCUGCGCCGCCACGCGGCGCCAGUGGCGGGAGCCGUGCUCCAUGGCGAGGCGCUCCAGGACGGCGUCCAACUCGGGCGUCCACGCUGGCGGGAGCCUGAUGCGGACGACGCACCUCCCGAGCGGCGGCGACGUCGCAGAUGAAGAAGCGAAGACGGAGGCGGCAGAGGAGGAGGAGGAGAGCUCCAUGUCCAUGGCGUGCGGCGUCAAUCGAAUCGUGGGUCGAAGGAAUAGUGAAGCUCCGACCACUAUACGCAUCGAGGCGUGGGGUGCCAGGAGCAGCACUUCGACCUUGGGUUUAGGUUUUGCUGGGCUUUACAACCAACGGUCCGACGUCGGGGAUAGUAAACCGCGAGCGUCCCCAUGGAAGGCGACGGCGUCCACCACCGUGGCCGGAGACAGCAUCGAUGACCGGGGGUGCCACAACUUCCUGAGGAGCUCAUCGCUCGUGCCGAUCUCCAUCCACCGGCGCUUCACGGAGCGCGAGCUGCGGCCGUGCACCGCCCUGCUGAUGUCCUUCCAUCGGUCGCCGCCGCCGCCGGGGCGCAGGACGAGGCGGCUCGUCGUCGUCGGCCGCGGUGAAGGGGCGGUGGAACACGUCGCGGGCGAGGUGGUCCUCCACCUGUCGCGGCACUGCGCUGGCGAGCGCUUGCGCGGCAUCUGCGCCGCCACGCGGCGCCAGUGGCGGGAGCCGUUCUCCACGGCGAGGCGCUCCAGGGCGGCGUCCUCCUCGGGCGUCCACGCCGGCCGGAGCCUGAUGCGCAGGACGACGCAGCACCUCCCGCUCGGCGGCGCGGACGACGGAGUGACGGCGGAAGCACAUUGA